GACUGUCCGCGCUGGAGACGGGGCUCUGUGGCUCGGGGCGCUCCACUUCGGAUUUUAGUUUUGACCCAGAGGGAAAGGCAAAAGCCAGGGAGACCGGUCGCGACGCACCUGAGCCGAAGCACUUUGGCGCCUAACCUAGGAGCCACGUGUGCGGUAUCUCUGUUUAGACACCCCAGGGAGGAUGUUGGAGGAUAGCGAUGUCAUUUUAUUCAUCUCUGUAAUCUUUCAGCAUCUAGCACAAAUUCUUGUGGAUAAAAGGUGGAGUAGCUACAAAAUGGCGUCACUAAAAGAUACAGAAAGUCUGCUUGACGUGCACUGGCCUUUGUGUGAGAAAGAAACCAUUACUGUGUUAAGUCAUUGAAAUUCCGGGCUCUAUUUGUCAUGAGAACAUAGCCUAGCUUAUUCCUACCAAUACAAGAUGUUAUUUAAUAAGAUUAUAAAUCAUAAUGGCAUAAAGACCCAAUGAAACAUUGAGCUUAUGAGAAUGCUGUAAUGUGUUCCUAAGUCAAGGCUGAAAAUAUGUAUUCUCACAACCCCAAAUUGAUGUAUAACAGCCUUUUCAUGGCACGACUCUGAAAUUAAAGUAGGUGUGUGUGUAUGUAUAAACUAUACACAGUAGAUCAGUUUUAACUAAGGACAAGAGACCAAAUGUCCCAAUAUUCUCCUCAGCCUGAGUGAAAACAAAUGUGCACCUGCCAUCCAGUGGCAGCAUACUGUGACUGAGAUUGAAGCUGGCUGGCAGCUGUGAAUAUGAUCGCUGUGACCUGGUUUCAUAGAAUGUACAAAGUAUAAGAGACAUCUUUCCACUGCUUCUAGAUUUAUAUCUUGAGUACAUCCAUAUAGGCUCCUUUGGAACUAUCUGCUAUGGAAGCCUCCCAUAGAACUGUGGAGAAUGCAAAUCUACUCUCAUUUUACAAAGAAGAAAAAAGAAAAAACAACCAUGUUGGACAUUGCUGAAUGGUGUGCCUUUUAAUAACUGUGCAAUAGCCCGGAGAGGUCUUUUGUUAAAAUAAAUGACCUUUGGGGCUCCAAAAAUCUCUCCAUGGAUUCUGCAUUUAAAC
This 1061-nucleotide long non-coding RNA is filed under the name Equus asinus (donkey). RNAcentral's name for it is "lncRNA (ENSEASG00005024068.1)". The record is from RNAcentral. Lineage: Eukaryota; Metazoa; Chordata; Mammalia; Perissodactyla; Equidae.